GGAAGGUUGACAGAAUGGUAAUACCACAGUCUUGAAAACCAGCGAUCAGAAAUGGUCCGUAGGUUCGAAUCCUACUACUUCCACCA
RNAcentral lists this transfer RNA (86 nucleotides) under Caudoviricetes sp. Its description in RNAcentral is "tRNA-Ser". Lineage: Duplodnaviria; Heunggongvirae; Uroviricota; Caudoviricetes. The record is from RNAcentral.